Molecule: ribosomal RNA, 2758 nt
Filed under: Klebsiella pneumoniae BIDMC 11
Lineage: Bacteria; Pseudomonadati; Pseudomonadota; Gammaproteobacteria; Enterobacterales; Enterobacteriaceae
Description: bacterial LSU rRNA
Rfam family: Bacterial large subunit ribosomal RNA
Source: RNAcentral
CACUAUCGUUAACUGAAUACAUAGGUUAACGAGGCGAACCGGGGGAACUGAAACAUCUAAGUACCCCGAGGAAAAGAAAUCAACCGAGAUUCCCCCAGUAGCGGCGAGCGAACGGGGAGCAGCCCAGAGUCUGAAUCAGCUUGUGUGUUAGUGGAACGGUCUGGAAAGUCCGACGGUACAGGGUGAUAGUCCCGUACACCAAAAUGCACAGGCUGUGAACUCGAAGAGUAGGGCGGGACACGUGGUAUCCUGUCUGAAUAUGGGGGGACCAUCCUCCAAGGCUAAAUACUCCUGACUGACCGAUAGUGAACCAGUACCGUGAGGGAAAGGCGAAAAGAACCCCGGCGAGGGGAGUGAAAAAGAACCUGAAACCGUGUACGUACAAGCAGUGGGAGCACCUUCGGGUGUGACUGCGUACCUUUUGUAUAAUGGGUCAGCGACUUAUAUUCUGUAGCAAGGUUAACCGUAUAGGGGAGCCGCAGGGAAACCGAGUCUUAACUGGGCGUUAAGUUGCAGGGUAUAGACCCGAAACCCGGUGAUCUAGCCAUGGGCAGGUUGAAGGUUGGGUAACACUAACUGGAGGACCGAACCGACUAAUGUUGAAAAAUUAGCGGAUGACUUGUGGCUGGGGGUGAAAGGCCAAUCAAACCGGGAGAUAGCUGGUUCUCCCCGAAAGCUAUUUAGGUAGCGCCUCGUGAACUCAUCUUCGGGGGUAGAGCACUGUUUCGGCUAGGGGGUCAUCCCGACUUACCAACCCGAUGCAAACUACGAAUACCGAAGAAUGUUAUCACGGGAGACACACGGCGGGUGCUAACGUCCGUCGUGAAGAGGGAAACAACCCAGACCGCCAGCUAAGGUCCCAAAGUCAUGGUUAAGUGGGAAACGAUGUGGGAAGGCACAGACAGCCAGGAUGUUGGCUUAGAAGCAGCCAUCAUUUAAAGAAAGCGUAAUAGCUCACUGGUCGAGUCGGCCUGCGCGGAAGAUGUAACGGGGCUAAACCAUGCACCGAAGCUGCGGCAGCGACACUAUGUGUUGUUGGGUAGGGGAGCGUUCUGUAAGCCUGCGAAGGUGACCUGUGAGGCAUGCUGGAGGUAUCAGAAGUGCGAAUGCUGACAUAAGUAACGAUAAAGCGGGUGAAAAGCCCGCUCGCCGGAAGACCAAGGGUUCCUGUCCAACGUUAAUCGGGGCAGGGUGAGUCGACCCCUAAGGCGAGGCCGAAAGGCGUAGUCGAUGGGAAACAGGUUAAUAUUCCUGUACUUGGUGUUACUGCGAAGGGGGGACGGAGAAGGCUAUGUUAGCCGGGCGACGGUUGUCCCGGUUUAAGCAUGUAGGCUGAUUGUCCAGGCAAAUCCGGAUAAUCAAGGCUGAGGUGUGAUGACGAGGCACUACGGUGCUGAAGUAACAAAUGCCCUGCUUCCAGGAAAAGCCUCUAAGCAUCAGGUAACAUCAAAUCGUACCCCAAACCGACACAGGUGGUCAGGUAGAGAAUACCAAGGCGCUUGAGAGAACUCGGGUGAAGGAACUAGGCAAAAUGGUGCCGUAACUUCGGGAGAAGGCACGCUGGUGUGUAGGUGAAGCCCCUGCGGGUGGAGCUGAGACCAGUCGAAGAUACCAGCUGGCUGCAACUGUUUAUUAAAAACACAGCACUGUGCAAACACGAAAGUGGACGUAUACGGUGUGACGCCUGCCCGGUGCCGGAAGGUUAAUUGAUGGGGUUAUCCGUAAGGAGAAGCUCUUGAUCGAAGCCCCGGUAAACGGCGGCCGUAACUAUAACGGUCCUAAGGUAGCGAAAUUCCUUGUCGGGUAAGUUCCGACCUGCACGAAUGGCGUAAUGAUGGCCAGGCUGUCUCCACCCGAGACUCAGUGAAAUUGAACUCGCUGUGAAGAUGCAGUGUACCCGCGGCAAGACGGAAAGACCCCGUGAACCUUUACUAUAGCUUGACACUGAACAUUGAGCCUUGAUGUGUAGGAUAGGUGGGAGGCUUUGAAGCGUGGACGCCAGUCUGCGUGGAGCCAACCUUGAAAUACCACCCUUUAAUGUUUGAUGUUCUAACGUUGGCCCCUGACCGGGGUUGCGGACAGUGUCUGGUGGGUAGUUUGACUGGGGCGGUCUCCUCCCAAAGCGUAACGGAGGAGCACGAAGGUUAGCUAAUCCUGGUCGGACAUCAGGAGGUUAGUGCAAUGGCAUAAGCUAGCUUGACUGCGAGCGUGACGGCGCGAGCAGGUGCGAAAGCAGGUCAUAGUGAUCCGGUGGUUCUGAAUGGAAGGGCCAUCGCUCAACGGAUAAAAGGUACUCCGGGGAUAACAGGCUGAUACCGCCCAAGAGUUCAUAUCGACGGCGGUGUUUGGCACCUCGAUGUCGGCUCAUCACAUCCUGGGGCUGAAGUAGGUCCCAAGGGUAUGGCUGUUCGCCAUUUAAAGUGGUACGCGAGCUGGGUUUAGAACGUCGUGAGACAGUUCGGUCCCUAUCUGCCGUGGGCGCUGGAGAAUUGAGGGGGGCUGCUCCUAGUACGAGAGGACCGGAGUGGACGCAUCACUGGUGUUCGGGUUGUCAUGCCAAUGGCACUGCCCGGUAGCUAAAUGCGGAAGAGAUAAGUGCUGAAAGCAUCUAAGCACGAAACUUGCCCCGAGAUGAGUUCUCCCUGAGACUUUAAGUCUCCUGAAGGAACGUUGAAGACGACGACGUUGAUAGGCCGGGUGUGUAAGCGCAGCGAUGCGUUGAGCUAACCGGUACUAAUGAACCGUGAGGCUUAACCUU